This is a transfer RNA of Camelus ferus (Wild Bactrian camel), 72 nucleotides long. It matches the Rfam family "tRNA". From Rfam's summary of the family: Transfer RNA (tRNA) molecules are approximately 80 nucleotides in length. Their secondary structure includes four short double-helical elements and three loops (D, anti-codon, and T loops). NCBI's taxonomy places the organism in Eukaryota, Metazoa, Chordata, Mammalia, Artiodactyla, Camelidae. The record is from Rfam.
GAGGGUAUAGCUCAGUGGUAGAGUGCAUGCCUAGCAUGCGAGAGGUCCUGGGUUCUAUCCCUAGUACCUCCA